This 1084-nucleotide ribosomal RNA is filed under the name Neisseria meningitidis alpha522. RNAcentral's name for it is "bacterial LSU rRNA". It matches the Rfam family "Bacterial large subunit ribosomal RNA", at positions 1838 to 2925 of the family's 2925-position model. The record is from RNAcentral. Lineage: Bacteria; Pseudomonadati; Pseudomonadota; Betaproteobacteria; Neisseriales; Neisseriaceae.
UGGACGUAUAGGGUGUGACGCCUGCCCGGUGCUGGAAGGUUAAUUGAAGAUGUGAGAGCAUCGGAUCGAAGCCCCAGUAAACGGCGGCCGUAACUAUAACGGUCCUAAGGUAGCGAAAUUCCUUGUCGGGUAAGUUCCGACCCGCACGAAUGGCGUAACGAUGGCCACACUGUCUCCUCCUGAGACUCAGCGAAGUUGAAGUGGUUGUGAAGAUGCAAUCUACCCGCUGCUAGACGGAAAGACCCCGUGAACCUUUACUGUAGCUUUGCAUUGGACUUUGAAGUCACUUGUGUAGGAUAGGUGGGAGGCUUAGAAGCAGAGACGCCAGUCUCUGUGGAGCCGUCCUUGAAAUACCACCCUGGUGUCUUUGAGGUUCUAACCCAGACCCGUCAUCCGGGUCGGGGACCGUGCAUGGUAGGCAGUUUGACUGGGGCGGUCUCCUCCCAAAGCGUAACGGAGGAGUUCGAAGGUUACCUAAGUCCGGUCGGAAAUCGGACUGAUAGUGCAAUGGCAAAAGGUAGCUUAACUGCGAGACCGACAAGUCGAGCAGGUGCGAAAGCAGGACAUAGUGAUCCGGUGGUUCUGUAUGGAAGGGCCAUCGCUCAACGGAUAAAAGGUACUCCGGGGAUAACAGGCUGAUUCCGCCCAAGAGUUCAUAUCGACGGCGGAGUUUGGCACCUCGAUGUCGGCUCAUCACAUCCUGGGGCUGUAGUCGGUCCCAAGGGUAUGGCUGUUCGCCAUUUAAAGUGGUACGUGAGCUGGGUUUAAAACGUCGUGAGACAGUUUGGUCCCUAUCUGCAGUGGGCGUUGGAAGUUUGACGGGGGCUGCUCCUAGUACGAGAGGACCGGAGUGGACGAACCUCUGGUGUACCGGUUGUAACGCCAGUUGCAUAGCCGGGUAGCUAAGUUCGGAAGAGAUAAGCGCUGAAAGCAUCUAAGCGCGAAACUCGCCUGAAGAUGAGACUUCCCUUGCGGUUUAACCGCACUAAAGAGUCGUUCGAGACCAGGACGUUGAUAGGUGGGGUGUGGAAGCGCGGUAACGCGUGAAGCUAACCCAUACUAAUUGCUCGUGAGGCUUGACUCU